CAUGUGGAAUAUUUGCCAUCAAAGUAAGUUUUUGAAUUGCAUAUUUCUUUACGGAAACAUGAAGCAGAUUUUGAAAAGGUCUCCUUUUCAACAUUUAAACUCCUAGAGAGACAUAAAGUUGAUGAAUUUUGAUUAAGUUAAACUGGGCCAGUAUGUUUUGAAUAUUCAUUUAUUCAAACAUGUUCUUAGUAUGCUGAGAAAGUCCUGGCAGAGGAGUCUCCUACUUUCCCAAACACUGAAGGGGCAGUGGUUAAUUACAGGAGGGAAAUUACUGUAGCACUUCUCAAUGAGACUGGUAUGUUAACCAUUUUCAAACUUCUAUUAACACCAUGAGGAUUUCAAUAUCAUUAAUUCAAUGAAUAUAAAAAAGUCUAGAAAGUUAGUAUGUAUCACUUAUGGUGUAUUUUCCCAUGGAAAUAAGAAGAAAAUAUUAUAUGCAAUCAAUACCAUAUCUUAACCAGAUGAUCUCAGUGAGCUGUGCCACCACUGUGGAGAGGGAGAAGAAGCGCGAGGGGGGUCUCAAGACAGACCUAAUGCCACUGACUGGAUCCAGUGUGACACCUGUGGAAGGUGGUACCACGAGGGUUGUGUUGGGAGACCUGACAGAGAUCCUAUGUACAGCUGUCCUGCAUGCCACCAGGCUCAAAUGAGUCGAUGCCGUCCAAAACGGUCCAAAAAAAGAUAACCAUGUCACAUGAUUAUCACGCCUUCCCGUGAGGAUGGACACUGUCUUUCAGCGACCCUCACAACCCUCAUCGACACCCCCCCCCCCCCCCACCGACCCCCCUUCCCGUGAGGAUGGACACUGUGUUUCAGCGACCCUCACAACCCUCAUCACCACCCCCCACCCACCCCCCUGCCCGUGAGGAUGGACACUGGGGUUACAGCGGCCCUCACAACCCCCACCACCACCCCACCCCUUUCAAGUGUGCAUAUUGUAUAUAGUUCUACUUCUAUUGUAUAUAGUUCUCUGCAAACCUAUGGUGGCAUCAUGCCUUCACUGUGCAUAUUGUAUAUAGUUCUACUUCUAUUGUAUAUAGUUCUCUGCAAACCUAUGGUGGCAUCAUGCCUUCACUGUGCAUAUUGUAUGUAGUUCUCUGCAAACCUAUGGUGGCAUCAUGCCUUCACUGUGCAUAUUGUAUGUAGUUCUCUGCAAACCUAUGGUGGCAUCAUGCCUUCACUGUGCAUAUUGUAUGUAGUUCUCUGCAAACCUAUGGUGGCAUCAUGCCUUCACUGUGCAUAUUGUAUGUAGUUCUCUGCAAACCUAUGGUGGCAUCAUGCCUUCAGUGUGCAUAUUGUAUGUAGUUCUCUGCAAAACUAUGGUGGCAUCAUGCCUUCACUGUGCAUAUUGUAUGUAGUUCUCUGCAAACCUAUGGUGGCAUCAUGCCUUCAGUGUGCAUAUUGUAUAUAGUUCUCUGCAAACCUAUGGUGGCAUCAUGCCUUCAGUGUGUCUUGAACAACCACACAAGGUUGCCAAUUUAUAUGAAUUUUGUUGAUGUAUUUGCACGUUUAAUCUUGCUGAAUUCUACAAGGCAAAUUAAUUAAUUUAAAACUUUAAUGGGGCCGUUCCCCGUUCUCGCAGACAUGAAUAAUUGUGUCCAAAUACAGAUAUGAGGACGACAAAUGACCUGAAAAGAUUUGGUUGGGGUUUGCCUAAUUUUUCCUGCAUUUACAGUGUGGGCGCAGAAUUCGACGGUGCGCUAGAUUGAUUGUGGCAUCGUUGAUUGCGACCUGCGUUGCUUGUGGACUCUGUGAUGAUCGCAGACAUGAAUAAUUGUGUCCAAAUACAGAUAUGAGGACGACAAAUGACCUGAAAACAUUUGGUUGGGGUUUGACUCAUUUUCCCCGCAUUUACAGUGUGGGCGCAGAUUUCGACGGUCUGCUGUCAUGAAUUGUGACCCAUCGGGGAUUGCGACCUGCUGCUUGUGGACUCUGUGAUGAUCGCAGUUAUGAAUAAUUGUGUGCACAUACAGAUAUGAGGACGACAAAUGACCUGAAAACAUUUGGUUGGGGUUUGACUCAUUUUCCCCGCAUUUACAGUGUGGUCGCAGAUUUCGACGGUCUGCUGUCAUGAAUUGUGACCCAUCGGGGAUUGCGACCUGCUGCUUGUGGACUCUGUGAUGAUCGCAAACAUGAAUAAUUGUGUCCAAAUACAGAUAUGAGGACGACAAAUGACAUGAAAACACUUGGUUGGGGUUUGACUCAUUUUCCCUGCAUUUAUAGUGUGGGCGCAGAAUUCGACGGUGCGCUAGAUUGAUUGUGGCAUCGUUGAUUGCGACCUGCGUUGCUUGUGGACUCUGUGAUGAUCGCAGACACGAAUAAUUGUGUCCAAAUACAGAUAUGAGGACGACAAAUGACCUGAAAACAUUUGGUAGGGGUUUGACUCAUUUUCCCCGCAUUUACAGUGUGGGCGCAGAAUUCGACGGUCUGCUAUCAUGAAUUGUGACCCAUCGGGGAUUGCGACCUGCUGCUUGUGGACUCUGUGAUGAUCGCAGACACGAAUAAUUGUGUCCAAAUACAGAUAUGAGGACGACAAAUGACCUGAAAACAUUUGGUUGGGGUUUGAUUCAUUUUCCCCGCAUUUACAGCGUGGUCGCAGAUUUCAGCGGUCUGCUGUCAUGAAUUGUGACCCAUCGGGGAUUGCGACCUGCUGCUUGUGGACUCUGUGGUGAUCGCAGUUAUGAAUAAUUGUGUGCACAUACAGAUAUGAGGACGACAAAUGACCUGAAAACAUUUGGUUGGGGUUUGACUCAUUUUCCCCGCAUUUACAGUGUGGUCGCAGAUUUCGACGGUCUGCUGUCAUGAAUUGUGACCCAUCGUGGAUUGCGACCUGCUGCUUGUGGACUCUGUGAUGAUCGCAAACAUGAAUAAUUGUGUCCAAAUACAGAUAUGAGGACGACCAAUGACCUGAAAACAUUUGGUUGGGGUUUGAUUCAUUUUCCCCGCAUUUACAGUGUGGUCGCAGAUUUCGACGGUCUGCUGUCAUGAAUUGUGACCCAUCGUGGAUUGCGACCUGCUGCU
RNAcentral lists this long non-coding RNA (3021 nucleotides) under Gadus morhua (Atlantic cod). RNAcentral describes it as "lncRNA (ENSGMOG00000025484.1)". The record is from RNAcentral. Lineage: Eukaryota; Metazoa; Chordata; Actinopteri; Gadiformes; Gadidae.